This 564-nucleotide ribosomal RNA is filed under the name uncultured Glomeromycotina. RNAcentral's name for it is "SSU rRNA". It matches the Rfam family "Eukaryotic small subunit ribosomal RNA", at positions 548 to 1114 of the family's 1831-position model. The record is from RNAcentral. Lineage: Eukaryota; Fungi; Glomeromycota.
UUGGAGGGCAAGUCUGGUGCCAGCAGCCGCGGUAAUUCCAGCUCCAAUAGCGUAUAUUAAAGUUGUUGCAGUUAAAAAGCUCGUAGUUGAAUUUCGGGAUCAAUCUGUUGGUCGUGCCUUUGGUACGUACUAGCUUAUUGAUUUCUCCCUUCUGACGAACCAUGAUGUCAUUAAUUUGGUGUCAUGGGGAAUCAGGACUGUUACUUUGAAAAAAUUAGAGUGUUUAAAGCAGGCUCACGCUUGAAUACAUUAGCAUGGAAUAAUGAAAUAGGACGUUUUGAUUCUAUUUUGUUGGUUUCUAGGAUCGACGUAAUGAUUAAUAGGGAUAGUUGGGGGCAUUAGUAUUCAAUUGUCAGAGGUGAAAUUCUUGGAUUUAUUGAAGACUAACUACUGCGAAAGCAUUUGCCAAGGAUGUUUUCAUUAAUCAAGAACGAAAGUUAGGGGAUCGAAGACGAUCAGAUACCGUCGUAGCCUUAACCAUAAACUAUGCCGACUAGGGAUCGGAUGAUGUUAAUUUUUAAUGACUCAUUCGGCGCCUUACGGGAAACCAAAGUGUUUGGGUUC